CAUGGCUGCUGGCUUGAAGCGAGACCCAAUAGUCAUCCUUCGUAUGGAUGGUGAAGACCUAUCAGAGUUCAUCAACGGACCAAGUUAUGAAGCAGAAAUGGUAUCUAUAUUUUCGCAGUUAGUAUCACCUGAUGUGGAUCACUCCAUGAUUUCAUUGUUAAAGCCUUGGAAAAGAUUACAGUUGAUCAAGGAAUCCCCCCGUCUUCAGAUUCCUGGGUAAUGAGCAACAUUGUGGAACCAGCCCUAGAAUCUUGCACUGUCCAAGAUCUUGAUAAACCUAUCUCUCAAGAAACAUUCUUGGUGGAAUUCAAGAAAGUAGCUGAACAUGUGGCUCAACAUCUCAAAGAACAGCCAGUUAUUGUUGCUCAUAGUGAAAAUACCUUUGAUGGGAGUGGCAUUAGGAGGCUGUUAACCAAUAAGUUUGAAUUAGACAAGACUCUGAACACAGCUUUAGAAAAUGUACCAAAAGAUCGAAAUGGGAAAAUGUCCCAGGAGUAUUU
RNAcentral lists this unclassified non-coding RNA (500 nucleotides) under Hevea brasiliensis (rubber tree). The record is from RNAcentral. Lineage: Eukaryota; Viridiplantae; Streptophyta; Magnoliopsida; Malpighiales; Euphorbiaceae.